This 264-nucleotide ribosomal RNA is filed under the name uncultured archaeon. RNAcentral describes it as "partial 16S ribosomal RNA". It matches the Rfam family "Archaeal small subunit ribosomal RNA", at positions 748 to 1009 of the family's 1478-position model. The record is from RNAcentral.
AGGGUGUAAACGACUGCAGACUUGGUGUUGGAAGUCCUUUGGGGGCGAUUCAGUGCCGGAGAGAAGUUGUUAAGUCUGCUACUUGGGGAGUACGUCCGCAAGGAUGAAACUUAAAGGAAUUGGCGGGGGAGGCACCGCAACGGGAGGAGCGUGCGGUUUAAUUGGAUUCAACGCCGGAAAUCUUACCGGGACCGACAGCAACAUGAAGGCCAAGCUGAAGACUUUGCCGGAUUAGCUGAGAGGUGGUGCAUGGCGUAGUCGUGU